ACGAACGCUGGCGGCGUGCUUAACACAUGCAAGUCGAACGAUGAAGCCGGAGCUUGCUCUGGUGGAUUAGUGGCGAACGGGUGAGUAACACGUGAGUAACCUGCCCCAGACUCUGGGAUAAGCGUUGGAAACGACGUCUAAUACCGGAUACGAGCUGCGAUCGCAUGAUCAGUAGCUGGAAAGAACUUCGGUCUGGGAUGGACUCGCGGCCUAUCAGCUAGUUGGUGAGGUAACGGCCCACCAAGGCGACGACGGGUAGCCGGCCUGAGAGGGUGACCGGCCACACUGGGACUGAGACACGGCCCAGACUCCUACGGGAGGCAGCAGUGGGGAAUAUUGCACAAUGGGCGCAAGCCUGAUGCAGCAACGCCCGCGUGAGGGACGACGGCCUUCGGGUUGUAAACCUCUUUUAGCAGGGAAGAAGCGAAAGUGACGGUACCUGCAGAAAAAGCACCGGCUAACUACGUGCCAGCAGCCGCGGUAAUACGUAGGGUGCAAGCGUUGUCCGGAAUUAUUGGGCGUAAAGAGCUCGUAGGCGGUUUGUCGCGUCUGCUGUGAAAACGCGAGGCUCAACCUCGCGCCUGCAGUGGGUACGGGCAAACUAGAGUGCGGUAGGGGAGAUUGGAAUUCCUGGUGUAGCGGUGGAAUGCGCAGAUAUCAGGAGGAACACCGAUGGCGAAGGCAGAUCUCUGGCCGUAACUGACGCUGAGGAGCGAAAGCAUGGGGAGCCAACAGGAUUAGAUACCCUGUAGUCCAU
Molecule: ribosomal RNA, 757 nt
Filed under: Gram-positive bacterium LIg-3
Lineage: Bacteria
Description: bacterial SSU rRNA
Rfam family: Bacterial small subunit ribosomal RNA
Source: RNAcentral